GACUUCAUGGCAUAAUGGAUUUGGCGCUAGUCUACGAAACGAGAGAUUCUGGGUUCAAUCCCCAGUGAAGUUG
Molecule: transfer RNA, 73 nt
Filed under: Ipomoea nil (Japanese morning glory)
Lineage: Eukaryota; Viridiplantae; Streptophyta; Magnoliopsida; Solanales; Convolvulaceae
Rfam family: tRNA
About the family: Transfer RNA (tRNA) molecules are approximately 80 nucleotides in length.
Source: Rfam by way of RNAcentral